AACGUAGGACACAAGCGUUAUCCGGAGUUACUGGGCGUAAAGGGCGUGUAGGCGGAUCGGUAAGUCUACUCUGAAAGCUCCUGGCUAAACUGGGAGGGUGCGGCGGAGACUGGAGUGCUAGAGUGUGGGAGAGGUAAGCGGAAUUCCUGGUGUAGCGGUGAAAUGCGUAGAUAUCAGGAGGAACACCUGUGGUGUAGACAGCUUACUGGACCACGACUGACGCUGAGACACGAAAGCGUGGGUAGCAAACAGG
RNAcentral lists this ribosomal RNA (253 nucleotides) under uncultured bacterium. Its description in RNAcentral is "partial 16S ribosomal RNA". It matches the Rfam family "Bacterial small subunit ribosomal RNA", at positions 524 to 776 of the family's 1533-position model. The record is from RNAcentral.